RNAcentral lists this ribosomal RNA (113 nucleotides) under Mycoplasmoides gallisepticum. The record is from RNAcentral. Lineage: Bacteria; Bacillati; Mycoplasmatota; Mycoplasmoidales; Mycoplasmoidaceae.
UGUGAUAUCGAUAUCGUGAUGGAAACACCUGGUCCCAUUCCGAACCCAGAAGUUAAGCAUCAUGGAGCCAAAGGUAGCGCAAGCAAGAAUAGGAAAAUAUCACGCCAACAAAA